RNAcentral lists this small nuclear RNA (21 nucleotides) under Arabidopsis thaliana (thale cress). RNAcentral's name for it is "snRNA_18183". Lineage: Eukaryota; Viridiplantae; Streptophyta; Magnoliopsida; Brassicales; Brassicaceae. The record is from RNAcentral.
UCAUCAAACCAAUUGACUCAU